AACGCACCUUGCGCCCUUUGGUAUUCCGAAGGGCAUGCCUGUUUGAGUGUUAUUAAUACCUCACUCUUGAAGUCUUUCAUUAGACGUCAAGAUGUGGACUUUGGAGGUUUUUGCAGGCCAUCACUGGUCAGCUCCUCUUAAAUGUAUUAGCGGAACUCUAUGCAGUACCGGCUUCGGUUUGAUAAUCCUAUCUAUGCUGUCGCUGUGAACUGUGCUGUUUGGCUUAUAAUUGUCUUCGGACUGCCUUUAACUUGGCAUAAUAUUUAAGCUUAACCUCAAAUCAGGUAGGACUACCCGCUGAACUUAA
Molecule: unclassified non-coding RNA, 307 nt
Filed under: uncultured Agaricales
Lineage: Eukaryota; Fungi; Basidiomycota; Agaricomycetes; Agaricales
Description: sequence contains ITS2
Rfam family: 5.8S ribosomal RNA (bases 1-52)
Source: RNAcentral